This 432-nucleotide ribosomal RNA is filed under the name Surendra vivarna. Its description in RNAcentral is "partial 12S small subunit ribosomal RNA". Lineage: Eukaryota; Metazoa; Arthropoda; Insecta; Lepidoptera; Lycaenidae. The record is from RNAcentral.
UUUAAUCUAGAAACACUUUCCAGUACUUCUACUUUGUUACGACUUAUUUCAAUUUUUAAAUGAAAGUGACGGGCAAUAUGUACAUAUUUUAAUUUUUAAUCAUUUUAUUAUAUUAAAUAAAAUUACAUUUAAAUCCAAUUUAAUUAUUUUAUUACAAAAAUAAAUCCAUUUAAAUAAUUUUAUUGUAAUCCAUCAUAUUCUUAAUUAUAAUCUACAUCUUGAUUUGAAUUAAUUUUUUAUUUUAAUUUUUAAAUAUUAUUUUUUUUUAAAAAUAUUUUUUUUACAACGAUAUAUAAAAUUUUAAAUUAAGUAAAUUUAAUCGUGGAUUAUCAAUUAUUAGACAGAUUCCUCUAAAUGAACUAAAAUACUGCCAAUUUAUUUAAGUUUCAAUAAAUUAUUAUUUACUAUUUUAGUAUUAUAAAUUAAAUUUUA